Molecule: ribosomal RNA, 450 nt
Filed under: uncultured bacterium
Lineage: Bacteria
Description: partial 16S ribosomal RNA
Rfam family: Bacterial small subunit ribosomal RNA
Source: RNAcentral
GUGGGGAAUUUUGGACAAUGGGCGAAAGCCUGAUCCAGCCAUGCCGCGUGUGUGAAGAAGGUCUUCGGAUUGUAAAGCACUUUAAGUUGGGAGGAAGGGCAGUAAGUUAAUACCUUGCUGUUUUGACGUUACCGACAGAAUAAGCACCGGCUAACUUCGUGCCAUCAGCCGCGGUAAUACGAAGGGUGCAAGCGUUAAUCGGAAUUACUGGGCGUAAAGCGCGCGUAGGUGGUUUUGUAAGUUGGAGGUGAAAUCCCCGGGCUCAACCUGGGAACUGCCUCCAAAACUGCAUGACUAGAGUACGGUAGAGGGUAGUGGAAUUUCCUGUGUAGCGGUGAAAUGCGUAGAUAUAGGAAGGAACACCAGUGGCGAAGGCGACUACCUGGACUGAUACUGACACUGAGGUGCGAAAGCGUGGGGAGCAAACAGGAUUAGAUACCCCUGUAGUCC